This is a long non-coding RNA of Oncorhynchus keta (chum salmon), 1198 nucleotides long. RefSeq lists it as uncharacterized. The transcript has 3 exons. The record is from RefSeq and is a predicted model, not a curated record. Lineage: Eukaryota; Metazoa; Chordata; Actinopteri; Salmoniformes; Salmonidae.
AAACAGAGAGAGAAGAACAAACACACAGAACAAUAUUCUAUUAUAUACAUCAUUGUGCAGUAGACACAGAACAUUAUCCCACAUACAACGAAACAGAAUACACAGAGGGAAUCGAGCUAACGUGUGAUGGAGGUACAAUGGAGUGUUAGAGGUUCGGUAAUACUGAGGGAGAGGCAAAGAGAGGUAGACAGAGAGAAAGAGAUGUAGAGAGAGAAGAGGUGGAGAGAGAGGUGGAGAGAGGUGUAGAGAGGUGUGGAGAGAGAGAGAUGUAGAAAGAGAUGUAGAGAGAGAAGAGGUGGAGAGAGAGGUGGAGAGAGAGGUGGGGAGAGGUGUGGGGAGAGGUGUGGGGAGAGAGGUGUGGGGAGAGGUGUAGAGAGAGAGAGAUGUAGAAAGAGAAGAGGUGGAGAGAGGUGUAGAGAGAGAGAGAGAUGUAGAAAGAGAAGAGGUGGAGAGAGGUGUAGAGAGAGAGAGAUGUAGAAAGAGAUGUAGAGAGAGAAGAGGUGUGGAGAGAGGUGUAGAGAGAGGUGUAGAGAGAGGUGUAGAGAGAGGUGUAGAGAGAGGUGUAGAGAGAGGUGUAGAGAGAGGUGUAGAGAGAGGUGGAGAGAGGUGUAGAGAGAGGUGUAGAGAGGUAGAGAGGUGUAGAGAGAGGUGUAGAGAGAGGUGUAGAGAGAGGUGUAGAGAGAGGUGUAGAGAGGUGUAGAGAGGUGUAGAGAGAGGUGUAGAGAGAGAAGAGGUGGAGAGAGGUGUAGAGAGAGGGAAGAGGUGGAGAGAGGUGUAGAGAGAGGUGUAGAGAGAGGUGUAGAGAAAGAGAGUUGGAGCGAAAGCAAGCGAGCGUAAGGAGAGAUGAUGGCAACUUCCAACCUGCGUUCGUCUUUGUCUAGCCUCUGCAGAGUCCCCAGCAACCGAAAGUUCCGGUUUUCAGGGGAAAUGGAAAGAGAGCCUGUGAUGCAACUUCCCGCUUUUGGACGUUAACAAAGCGACACUCCAUCUUAACUCCUCCUCCACAUUUACUGGAUUGGUUGAACAGUGCAAAAGAGAACCUCCCUUUUUCUCCUCGUCAAGACCAGUACAUAGUGGAGAUAGCGUCAGGCCGUUGGGUUAGUCUUUGUCAAGCGUGAAUAUCUGGCGAGCGGAUAUGCUGCAUCUUCUGUCGAAAUGUAUUUCCCUGUUGGGACAAUAAAGAUUGAAUUGAAGAGCG